GUGAGGAAUAUUGGUCAAUGGGCGGGAGCCUGAACCAGCCAAGUCGCGUGAAGGAAGAAGGAUCUAUGGUUCGUAAACUUCUUUUGCAGGGGAAUAAAGUGCAGGACGUGUCCUGUUUUGUAUGUACCCUGAGAAUAAGGAUCGGCUAACUCCGUGCCAGCAGCCGCGGUAAUACGGAGGAUCCGAGCGUUAUCCGGAUUUAUUGGGUUUAAAGGGUGCGUAGGUGGUUUGAUAAGUCAGCGGUGAAAGUUUGCAGCUUAACUGUAAAAAUGCCGUUGAAACUGUCGGACUUGAGUGUAAAUGAGGUAGGCGGAAUGCGUGGUGUAGCGGUGAAAUGCAUAGAUAUCACGCAGAACUCCGAUUACGAAGGCAGCUUACUAAGCUACAACUGACACUGAAGCACGAAAGCGUGGGGAUCAAACAGGAUUAGAAACCCUUGUAGUCC
RNAcentral lists this ribosomal RNA (445 nucleotides) under uncultured bacterium. Its description in RNAcentral is "partial 16S ribosomal RNA". It matches the Rfam family "Bacterial small subunit ribosomal RNA", at positions 354 to 796 of the family's 1533-position model. The record is from RNAcentral.